UUGAUAGGUCAUAUAUUGGAUAAUUUUACAUUUGUGAUUCCAAAGUUGGAUAAGCUUCUGGGACCUUGCAACCUCGCAAUGAUAUUGCAUUCAAAGUGGAGACUCAGGUGGGUGAGCCUUUUGAUUUAUGUUGAGAAAUAUUUAAAAUGGCUUGCCUUGAGCCACAGAUAAUUUUGUUUCUGUUUGCUAGUUAAUGCAGAACAUGUUGGGAUAAGGAUGCUAUGUUCUGCACAUGCCUGGAUCUCCAAACCUUUUUUAUCCACUUUUUUCCAAACAGGACCUUCUUCAAAUAGUUAUAGAUUUGAAUCACUUAAAGAAGAUAAAUUCUUGACAUAUAUGUAUAUGUGCAUACAUAUAAUCGUCUGACCUUUUGUUCCUGUUCAUCCUCAAAACUUCAGAUUAUUUUUUAUAAGUCACUGGCUUGGCAGCCCUCCAAUGCAUAACUACUUACAUGCCUGUGUGUACAUGAACUUCAAAGUGUAACCACAAGAAAAAAGUCUCACUUGUCUUGCCUUAUAUAACUCAUUUGAUGGAAUCGCAUUCCAUCUCAUAUCAAAAAUCAAUUGUACUACUCAACAACGAAGUUAUUCUCAUGAUUUUUUUCCCAAGUUCAUCAGCACAAAGAAACUCGUCAGGAUACUAAGGAAAUGCCAGAGUUUAGCAGGCCUCAGAAGGAAAAAGAUUUCGGAGAGGACGAAGUUAUUCUCAGAAGGAAGAACACAAAGAAGACAAGGAGACAGUGAAAUCAGAGAGGACGACCACGCAACCUGCGGCUUCAGAAACAACAAAGGCCGUUGGAGAAAGAAGAGAGGGAUGAGAAGCGCGAGGGAGGAGAAGGUUUUUCGAAUAAAAAGGGGGAGCAAGCCGAGGGAAAGGAGGAUUGAGUAAAUAAAGGAGGACUGGGAGCACGGUAAGCCGACAGAGGGGGCGGGGAAAGGAAAUCAAAGAGGAAUUGAGAGAUCGAGCCGUGUUGUGUAACCAACUCGAGCUGGAAUGAAUGAGAGAGACCAAGUGUGGUUUCAGACGAAAGUUUCAGUGAGAAUGCUAGAAAUAGUAGGAGGUAACAUGAUUCCCGCUGUAAAUCUAGGUGUUUUGGUUGAAGGACUGUGAAUGCUGAAAACAGGAUUUAAAAGGGCUUGCGAAGGUUUAGAUUAGGGGGGUUCUGAUUUGGAGAGGCUGGAGCUCCAGGAGAGGACAGACACGAUAGAGGGUGAAAACAGGUCUGAUGCGAGAGAUAACAGAGGCUUGUAAGGAGAACGUAAGAGAAGAAAACUGGAAGAGAUUCUGGGAUUUCCGGGAUGAGAGGCCGAGAAUGACGGAGGGGAUUUGCUAAUUGGAAGAGGCUGGCUCUCGUCUUUGUUGAGACUCAUUGAUAAAGGGGUAAAAUUGAUUCCUUUCUCUUCGUCCUUUUAUCUUCGUCUGUGUUCUUACGUGUACUGUUCGAGAGGGUGGAAGUAAUUGAUUCAUAUGACUGAAGGUCGGGAGUAAUGGAAGCGUUUGAAUGCAUAUUAAUUUGUAUGAUGAAAAUGGUCAAAACGUUUAAUUGAUAUGAUUUUUUCUAUUCCAACCUAAUCUUGGAUUGCAUGUAAUAUCUUUGAUAAAAUGAACCAGGGAUAAAUCCUUACUCCAAUUAAAUACUUGUUUGUUUGUGGAAUUGGACUGCAACAUGCACUCAAUUGGGUGACCUUCGUGUUGCUCUGGUGUUUCCCCUUGUUGCCGCACAUAAGCAAGUUGCUUCUUGGUUAAUUUCCGACUGUAGACAGAAGCAAUUUUGUGCUCUUAGUAUACUUAAUUGAUAAUCAAUUCUUAUCUUCAUGUUCUUCUGAUUAUUUAUUUCUUUCAAAAUUCCUUCUGAUUUUACCUUUUUCUGUUGUAGAAUGCUAAUAUUUACAAUGGAAUUAUAAACUAUUCCCAUCAUCUUAUCUAACAAGACAAGAAUAAUUAGAACGGAG
This 1952-nucleotide long non-coding RNA is filed under the name Carica papaya (papaya). Its description in RNAcentral is "long non-coding RNA (CPAP_LNC011206)". Lineage: Eukaryota; Viridiplantae; Streptophyta; Magnoliopsida; Brassicales; Caricaceae. The record is from RNAcentral.